RNAcentral lists this long non-coding RNA (223 nucleotides) under Lathyrus oleraceus (garden pea). Its description in RNAcentral is "Pisum sativum (pea) long non-coding RNA (PSAT_LNC010818)". Lineage: Eukaryota; Viridiplantae; Streptophyta; Magnoliopsida; Fabales; Fabaceae. The record is from RNAcentral.
AUGCAUGCUUUCAUUAUUUCAUCAUCAUAAUUUCAUUGAACUUUCAUAACCAAAUACAUAUUACACGGACUCAAGGCAUGGUGUUUACACCCGGGAAAAACUGGGGUUAUCCGGUUAAUACAUGCAUGCUUUCAUUAUUUCAUCAUCAUAAUUUCAUUGAACUUUCAUAACCAAAUACAUAUUACACGGACUCAAGGCAUGGUGUUUACACCCGGGAAAAACU